Molecule: long non-coding RNA, 528 nt
Filed under: Homo sapiens (human)
Lineage: Eukaryota; Metazoa; Chordata; Mammalia; Primates; Hominidae
Description: non-protein coding lnc-C5orf49-2:3
Source: RNAcentral
AAAAUUCAGUCCCCUUUUUAUAGAGUCGUUGCAAGGAUCAAGUGAGUUGAAAUCCGUAAGGUGCUUGGGAGAAUGCCUGGCGCCUGGAAGCACUGUAUAUUCCAAAAAAGGAGAUAUAAACAUGACCAUAAAAGACAUGAAAAGAUGUUUAACCCCAUUAGUCAUCGUGGAAAUGCAAAUGAAAACCACCAUACAGACACUAGAGUGGUUUAAAUUUGAAUGACUUCCAACACCAAAUGCCAGACAGGACAUAGAGCAACUGGAUGUCUCAUGCUCACAGGCAGAAGGGAAAACUACUGUGUGUGACAGGAAGAUGGACUUACCCAACCUUCAGCAUUCUCAAUCUCUUGUCUAUUAACAUGUGUUUGAAACAUUAUGCAUUCAAAGCAAACAUCUGGGAGGAAGAUGGGAGAAGCCUUCUUGCCCCUGUUCUACAGAAGUAAUUGAAGUUCAUGACAUUCAAGCUCAUUCACCAGUAAAUGAAUUUGGGUCAUGCUUUAUGUCUGUUGUAAAUACAGUGAAAAUUUG